This 75-nucleotide microRNA precursor is filed under the name Globodera rostochiensis. RNAcentral describes it as "mir-86 microRNA precursor family". It matches the Rfam family "mir-86 microRNA precursor family". The record is from Rfam by way of RNAcentral. Lineage: Eukaryota; Metazoa; Nematoda; Chromadorea; Rhabditida; Heteroderidae.
AUGCCAGUUAAGUGAAUUCUUUGCCACAGUCUUAGAAUGAGAGAUAAGCUGUGCAAGGUUCGCUUAGGCUGGAAU